GGAGGAGUUGAAGGCGGACUUGGCGGAGUCGAAGAGGGACCUGACCUGGGCUGGGUCGGAAAUAUCGGCUCUGACGGUUAUGGCGCGUGAAGCAGAAGCAGAAUUGAUUUGGGAGGCUACGAGGUCGGCUUGAGCUGGGUUGGAGGAGUAGUUGAUCACGAGGUUGGCUCCGAGAGAGGCAAGAUGGAGGGCUAUGGCCCGCCCAAUUCCCCUGGAGCCGCCGGUGACGACGGCUACUCGGUCUUUGAGAGGGAGGGGGAUGGAAUCAGCCAUGCUGCCGCCUGAUCCUGACUCCCACUAACUGCUAAGUUGAAGUAGCGAAAAUGGAUUGGAUGUCUUUGGUUUGAUUUGGGGAUUAUUUAUAGCUGGGGAUAAUUGCAGAAACCUCCCCUGAGAUUUUUGACAUUUUCACUGACCUCCCCUCUAGGUUUAGAAAUUACAUUCACCUCCCCUAAACACUAACAAUUCGUUGCAGAAGCCUCCCUGACAGCUUUGUAGAAAUGAGAUAAGAAAUUUCUUUCAAUUUUGCCCUCUUCUUGCUUGACAAUUAUUAUUUGCUUGACAAUUGCUUAACUAAUUAUCUAAUUAGUUAAUAGUUAAACUAAUUAACUAUUAACUAAUUAUCUGAUUAAUUAUUAACUAAUUAUCUAAUUAAUUAACUAAUUAACUAAUUUUUAUUUAUCUAAUUAACUGCUUAACUAAUUAACUAAAUCUGUUGUCUGUCCGAAACUAACAAACUAUUUGCAUGUUAAACUAAUUAACUAAUUAAUUGCUUAACUAAUCAACUAAUUAACUAACUAACUAAUUAACAGACCAUUUGCAUGUUAAACUAUAUGCAGUACGCAUUACCUAUUUAAAGUAUCGGUUCUUUAUAGGUAUUUUACUUUCAAACAUUUAAUUUAUGAUAAAAACAUCAAUGUUUGUAAGUAAAAUUCAAAAAGUGUUACAGUAAUAUUCUUACAAAAAGGAAGGGGCAUAGGGCCAUAAAUUAAAUGUUUGAAAGUAAGAAUAUUGAUAUUUUUUGUAACACUUUUUGAAUUUUACUUACAAACAUUGAUAUUUUCAUCAUAAAUUAAAUGUUUGAAAGUAAAAUACCUAUAAAGAGCCGAUACUUUAAAUAGGUAAUGCGUACUGCAUAUAAUUUAACAUGCAAAUAGUUUGUUAAUUAGUUAGUUAGUUAAUUAGUUUAACAUGCAAAUAGUUUAUUAGUUUCGGAUAGACAACAGCUUUAGUUAAUUAGUUAAUUAGCUAAUUAGAUAAAUAGAAAUUAAUUAAUUAAUUAAUUAGAUAAUUAGUUUUUUUGUCAAACAAUUAGAUAUUUAGUUAGUUAAUUAGUUAAUUAGUUUAACAUGCAAAUAGUUCGUUAGUUUCAGUCUUUCAGACAGACAACAGCUUUAAUUAAUUAGUUAAACAGUUAAUUAGUUUAACAUGCAAAUAGUUUGUUAUUUUCGGAUAGACAAUAACUUUAGUUAAUUAGUUAAUUAGAUAAACAAAAAUUAGUUAAUUAAUUAAUUGGAUAAUUAGGUAGUUAAUUAGUUAAGCAGCUAAUUAGUUAAUCAGUUUAACAUGUAAAUAGUUUGUUAGUUUAGGAUAGACAACAACUUUAGUUAAUAAAUUAAUUAGUUAAGCAGUUAAUUAGUUAAUUAGUUUAACAUACAAAUAGUUUGUUAGUUUCGGAUAAACAACAACUUUAGUUAAUUAGAUAAUUAGGUAGUUAAUUAGUUAAGCAGCUAAUUAGUUAAUUAGUUUAACACGCAAAUAAUUUAUUAGUUUCGGACAGAUAAUAGCUUUUGUUAAUUAGUUAUUUAGAUAAUUAAUUAAUUAGUUAAUUAGAUAAAUAGAGAUUAAUUAAUUAGAUAAACAGAAAUUUGUUAAUUAGUUAAUAGUUAAUUAGAUAAUUAGUUAAUAGUUAAUUAGUUUAAUUAUGCAAAAAUAGUUUGAUUAGUUAAUAACUAUUAACAAUUAGAUAAUUAGUUAUUAAUUAAUUAGAUUAAUUAGUUAAUGGGAAAAUGACCAAUUUAGUCCCUAUACUUUUUUUUACUGUCAAUUUAGUCCUUAUAUAAUUUUUUUGGCCAAUUUAAACCCUACACUUAUUUAUCGGUUCCAAUUAAGGAUCUCCGCGGCGGCGCCACCUUGUAAUUGCGGUUCAACAUCUAAUUGACCACUUAUGCGGGGGCAUUUCUGGUACUUCACUGUUGGGGCUCUUCUUCAGAAUUAAAAAUCAAAAUCAAAAAGUUACCGGUGUAAUUUUUAUCACCACUGAAGAUAAAGGUCAGUGACUCUGGAGAUGUGAUCUGGUCGGUGGCGCUGGACGAAAUCACUGCAGCGAAAUGCAUCCAAGUAGGAAUUGGGACAAAGCAUCCUCAAGGUCAAGCUCACGAAGUAGUGAUGGAGUACUGAAGAGCGUCGGUGUCGGGUUUCAUGGUGCAGACAGUGAAAGGCUGAUUUAUGAAGGAAAUGAUGAAUAUUAUAAUGGAGACAAAAUGGUGCAAUGCCACUGCCGUGAACAAUGCAGAAUCGUGACAGCAUGGACGGAGGCAAACCCAGCAAGAAGAUUUCAUGGUUGCAGAAAUCAUGGGGUAAUUUUGUGUGCUAAAUGUUAGAUUUUGUUGAGUUAUUGCUUGAAUUUUGACUAUAAAAUAUAUGUGAAUGCAGAAACGUGGGCUUGUAAAUUUUUUUUGUGGUAUGAUCCACUCAUAUCCCCAAAAAUGAAGAACACACUAGCUGCAAUUUUGAGGGAACUGAGAAGUACCGAGAGGGAGAAUGUAGCAUUGAAGAUUGAAAUCAGCAAAUUGAAGGCAAAAGUGAAAGUAUUGUUCUUGGCUUGUACUUGUUGCUGCAUUUUAGUUGUUGCUAUACUCGGGUGCACUCAAAAGCAAAAUGGUAGCUUCAGUGAAUUGAAGAUGUUGCAGUAGUUCUAGACAUUGUAUGAAAGUUCAUUAUUCUUGCUCUGUUUGACCAUGUAAUGCUGCCCUCUUGGAAUGAAGUAAUUGCAGAGGUUUCGUAUAAUAGUUUUGGAUAUGAAUUGUUAUGGAUUUGUAAUAGUUUUGAGUUCCUAGUUGUAUGUUUACAAAUUUGGGGUUGAAUAUCAAAGAGAGCAGCUUUCUUCAGUCUUUAGUGAGUUUUCGGUGAUGUACUCAGAAAUCGAACUGUGGCCUGUGACUUGUUACUACACACAGUAUGAACUGUGACUUGACUCUGUCUUCCCUUAUCCCUACAUCAAUCUACAUGUUCAUUCCUAGUUCCAAACACUGCAUCUUAAAUGGAGCUAAUGCCAUCAGUUCCUUUCCUAAAUCUACCAAUAUAUACUCUGUCCAAAUUGAGCAAUCAACGAAUCAAUUCCAAUCCUUCAGCUAGGCAGGGGAAAAUUUUCUGAUCAUGCAAUAGACAUUCAGAUGAGCUAAAAACUUAGCCCCCAGACAAGUGCAAAAAGCCCCCAGCAAAUCUUAAAGAUGAAAUAGGGCACCUGCAACCUUCACGAGUUGGGAACAAUAGUUCACUAGUCUUCAAUCACCAAAUAAACAAAAGACAACACCAGUAGCACAUAUGCUACAGAAUCAAUUUUUCCAAAAAUCAUACUACUAAUCAACAUCUCAAAUGUUAGAACUGAUCCAUCAGAUUAGAAUCAACAUCACAACACAUAGGAGAAUAUCCAGAAUCCAGAAUUCAUUAGAUUAGCAGUUUUAACAGCAAAAAACAUUCAAUAGCUCGAUUCAUUACAAAAGAAAGUGAAUCCCAUGACAUAAAGGUCUUCCAGCAACUUCAUCAACAAAAAAACAAUAAGCCAGCUUCAUCUAGCAACUUCAUCAACCCAAAAAUAGUCAAUUCAAAAACAACUUCAUCAACAACGUCAUUAUCUAAAUAUUAUCAUUUUCACUGAUCAUCCAACUCAUCGAGUAUCCUAUGAGACUGCAAAUACAUACAUAGUGAGAAUCUCCAAGAGUAAAUUAAAAUCAAUAAUUUAUAUACGAUUUUGUGGCCCCAAAAAAGUUACCUUUUCUUUUCUUCUUUUCACAGUACUCAUCCUGUUUCUUCAUGCUUGUGCUUGGCAGCAAGUGCAAGUUCUUUUGGACUGGCUCGAGGCAUGACAAUAAAAAUAACACAUUGUCCUUUUGAGUUUCUGAGAGCUUUCAGUUGGAGCAGUAAGUUGAACAUCAAUUUCUUCAGAAACUUGAUCAACUUGCAUUAUAAAAACAUGACAAAUAUCAGAUGUGUUCAUCAAACAGUAAACAGGAUUUGAGCAACAAUUAGAGUAGUAGUUAAAAAACUUAAAAUGUAGCAACAUAUCAGAUGUGUUUCAGAUUCUUACAAUGUAGGAGAGUCUUGAAAUGUCUCAUCACAGUCUUGAAAUGUCUCAUUACAGUCCUCAAAUGUCUCAUUACCAUCCACAGAAGGAGCUGUAACAAUUAAAACAGAUUAGCAGCCGCUAGAUAAAAUAGUGCAACAUGAAAGAAAAUAUGAGUUCAGUCAUAUCAGUUUCACCGACAGUUCCGUCUUUUCCUUUGACAUCCAAUGGACAAGUUCUUGCAUUGUGUCCAAAUUUCUUACAUUUUCCACACCUAUUACUAUUCACAGGUGGUAUUCUUUCAUUGCUAUCCACUCCUUCCAUGUUGAGGUAGCAUUUUCUUUUAGUGUGGCCCUUUUGAUGACAAAGAGAGCAAGUCAUACAUGUAGCACCCUUUCUAGACAGUCUUGUGCAUCCAGCCAUAUCAUUUCGUGGCUCAUCCGGCUCUCUCCUCCUUACUUUCUUAGGCCUACCGGGAAGUUUUAGUUUCUUAGGUGCAUACAUAGGGGCUCUCUUACAUUUUUCCAGUUAUUAGGUCCAUUAAUUGGACUAAUAGCUGGCUCGUAAGCCUUUAGAUAUGAAUCUCUUGAGUAAUAUGGAUGCACUAGACUUUCAAACUCGGCUCCGGUCAAAGCAAUGCAGCCUAUAGCAUGAGAACACGGUAAACCAGUGAGUUCCCAUUUUCUACAUGUACAUGUCUUCGCCUUUAAGUUAACAACAAACUUGGCCCCAUACAUAUGUGUCACCUCAAAUCUGUCAUCAUUAGACUACCUGGCAAUAUUUGAUCUAGCAUCAUCCUUUGCCUUUUCAAUUUUUUUUGAACUUUUGGACAAAUAAUAUCACUUCUUUUUCUCAUCCAUUCCCUCUUUGUCCUAAGUUUUUCUAUUAGAUAUAUCCUAAUGUUUUCAAGCAUACCAAGGAUGGGUUUUUCUCUUGCAUCUAAUAUAACAGAAUUAAAUCUCUCACACACAUUAUUGAAAAGAAUAUCACAUUUAGCCGUGAUCCUAAAAUGUGAUCUGGACCAAUGGCAUUGCGAUGUGUUGUCCACUAGCCAUUUGUGUGCUUUCUCAUCAUACUGUCUCAACAUAUCCAUUUCAGUUUCAAAUUUAUUGACAUACGAGGAUCUUGCACAAGUCCAAAACAUACCCUUGAGUGUUUCUCCAGGAUGGACCUUUUUGAAAUUGUUGUGUAAAUGCCUAACACAGUGUCUAUGCUCCACUCCAGGAAGAAUAUCUUGGAUGGUAGAACCCAAACCCUAUUAUAUAAAACAACAAAAAAAUUCAGAAAUCAGUCAUUUCAAUAAAGUAGUUUUCCAACAAAAAAUCAGUUUCAAAUUUCUAUAUUACUUAGCCAUACCUUUUGCCUAUGACUGAUAAAUGUCCAUUGUCUCUGGUCUUGGAUUAUGAGAUCAAACUUUAAGAAUUCAAUGAACCAUGUCCAAGAACUCUUGUUCUCGGUCUCAACCACUGCAUAUGCAACAGGAUAGAUGCAAUCAUUAGCAUCUAUCCCUACAGCUGUCAAAAGCACUCCCGGAUGUGGUCAUCUUAGAUGGCACCCAUCCACACCAAGUACAGGUCGACAUCCUUCUUUAAAACCUUUUUUCAAGGCUGCAAAACAAAUGUAUAGUCUUCUGAAUCUCUCUUUUCCGCUAAAUUCAUCAGUCUCCGUCUCUACAUGCACUGUGGAACCAGGAUUUGAGCUCAACAAUUCCUCACAAUAGUCCCAAAUUCUUGUGUAUUGCUGCUUAUAUUUUCCUUGGAUCAGAAUUUUGGCUUUCCCAAAAGUCUUAUAAGCCUGAUCUUUUGUGAUGUUCACAUUCAGUUCUUCAUGCACCUUGUCCUUAAAUGCACAAACCGUAACUUUUUUAUUCAUUCGCAGAAACUCCAUGUAAUGCCUAGCCAAAAAAUCAGAAUUUGCAUGCUUGUGAUAGAAAGUUCUACCACAUUGAUGUUGUGGCCCCAUCGUUCUUAUCACGAAUGCAUCACAAUCUGGUUCUUUUGUAGGAUAAACAAACCAGUUGCAUUUCUCUUUCUUACAUUUUGCUCUGAUCCUGUUCUUAUCAUUCUUUUGCCAACCAUGCUUUUUGCCCCACUGCAUAGAAUAAUACUCAACAGCUCUUUUAAACAUCUUCUUAGUGUCAAACAAUAAACCAACAUAUAAUUUGGGGUCCUUCAUAUCCACAUCUAGCUUGAACCUUGCAUAUUUCGGUUUCUUGCUGGAAGUAUUUUCAUCCGAGCUACUAGAGCAGCUACUAAACUCCUUUGUGUUUAUGGAAUCAGAUUCCUCUUGGAUAGAAAUCUGGUCACCAUCAUAAAUAUCACAAUCAUGGUCAGCAGCAACACUUCCUUUUCCUUUUGCUUGUGCUUUGGCUUUUUGUGGCUGCUCUGAACCUUUCUUCUCUUCACCAGUGGCAUUUUUCCCUCCAUAACUAGCAUCAUAUACACUCCUCUGACCAUCAAUUUCGAUAUCAGCAGUAAUUGCACAAUUCUUGUAUAUUAUGUCAUCUUCGUCUUUCCUAAACUCAUAGUCACUAUCAUGAAACUUUCACCACUAUCCGUUUCCUCUAAUUCUGGUUCAAUUUCAUUAUCUGCACCUUCAUCUUUUUCAAUCACAUUAGCACCUCUCUGUUUACCCUUUUUUGUUUUUACCCAAUCUACUUUAGUUACAUCAACUAGAAGUUCUACAACUUCUUCAUUCCCACAAAAUUCAUCAAAUGUGAUAUCCACAUACAGUAGAUUUUUUUCCUCAUUCUCACUGCCUCUCUCGAAAAUUGCCAUGUUGUUGUUAGGUUCUAUGGAUCUAACAUGAAACUCUUGGACAAUGUAUAGUUCAACUUUUCCAGUUUGUAUACCUAUAGCAGCCAUGUCCAUGACGUCCUCUUCACUAUCUAUUUGUCUAACUCUCAGGCUCCCAUCUAUGGUAGGGAUCCUAUAUCUAUAGCUGGCGUUUUCAUCACAUCCAAGUAAAUGACCAAAGCUUAACACAGAAGCUACGUUAACCUUGGAGGCUAGAACCCCAUCAAAAUGCUUCAUGUUACUUCCCACAUAUUUUGGCUCUAGUUCUUCAAUGUAUGUCUCACCAGAGUAGAUAUACAGAGUGAAUACAUCCGAGUCAUCACCUAUUUUAUUUUCCAAACAAAUUAAAAAAUUACUACCAUAAUUUGUAAUUUACAGUCAUUGUCUGCUUUUUGAGGGACAUGAAAGCAACAUGACAAAUUAAAUUUACAGCCAUGGACCACAUGAACCCCUUUUCAGAAAAAAAAUGAAAACAGAAAACACAGCCCUUUUUCCAACCACAUUUCAAUCGAUCUUGCUAUUAAAGUACAAUAUUUGCUGUUCACAACAACAUAAACCCACACCGAACAUAGCAAAUUAGAUUUACAGCCAUGCAAACCCAUUUCAGAAAAAAAAGGAGGAACAGAAAACACAGCCUUUUUUCAACCACAUUUCAAUCGAUCUUGCUAUUAAAGUACAAUAUUUGUUGUUCACAACAACACAAACCCACACCGAAGAUAAUAAAUUAGAUUUAUAGCCAUGCAACCCCUUUUCAAGAAAAAAAAGGAAGAACAGAAAACAGAGCCCUUUUCCAACCACAUUUCAAUCGAUCUUGCCAUUAAAGUACAAUAUUUGCUGUUUAGGGCAAGACAAACCCACACCCAACUUCAUUAAGCUAUUACCACAACAAAUCAAACAGAUUUAAGUGGCUCAACUUACCCAUUUUUCUUGGUCCUGUUUUUUAAAAUUUCUUCUUUCGCGCCUUUCGUCACUUGCUCCCUUUUCAGAUUCCUUCGACUUCCUGCGCCACUACAUUUCCUUAUUCAUCACCAUUUCAGUCAAUUUCAGUUGAUUUUUGCAAGAUAAAGUUGAAGUUUCAGGUUUGGAUUUUUGUCAGUGGUGAUAAAAAUUACACCAUUAAUUUUUGAUUUUGAUUUUUAAUUAUGAAGAGAAGCCCUAACAGUGAAGUACCAGAAAUGCCCCCGCAUAAGUGGUCAAUUAGACGUUGAAUCGCAAUUACAAGGUGGCGCCGCCGCGGAGAUCCUUAAUUAGAACCGAUAAAUAAGUGUAGGAUUUAAAUUGGCCAAAAAAAUUAUAUAAGGACUAAAUUGACAGUAAAAAAAAGUAUAAGGACUAAAUUGACCAUUUUCCCUUAGUUAAUUAGUUAAACUAUGCAGAAAUAGUUAAUUUAGUGUAAUUUUUAUUAACAAAUGUUUUGUUGGAUUUGAUGAAAGUACUCAUCACAUUCAUUUGGUAAAAUUAAAUCAUGUCAGGGGUACUUUAAUAAAUUGACCCAUUUUUGCCUAUUAAAUUGCCUCCAACUUUUGAUAAGAGAGGUCAGUGUUAUUUCAAAAUUGAUAGGGACGGUCAAUGCUAUUACUAUAAAAGUCAGGGGAGGUUUCUGCAAUUAUCCCUUAUAGCUACGGACAAUGCCUUAGUUAUACUGAUACAUGCCAUGCGGGAAUUUUUUUUUUUUUUUUUAACAAACGACAUUUUUUCUUUUGUUGUUGUUUGGGGUGGGGGGGGUGGGGUGUUGGUUUAAUGGCCGCUGCACAUUGAUUAGAAUCUGACAUUUGCAUCAUAAUCGACACAAAUUUGGGGGGGGGGGGGGGGGGCUCUCACCAUUCUUAGGAAUAAUCUCACCAUUUGCAUCAUAAUCCAGACAUUUGCCACCAUUCUUUCGAAUAACCUGGCCAAUGACCCACUCCCCAGCACCAGCAGCCAAGAAGCUACAGGGCUUCUUCACCAUUCCUUCUGGUUACCCUAGAAUGGAAGUCCACGCAAAAGGAGGCCCCGGAGCCACACAAUAGGCAAUUAUCCUGGAUCCUAUGAGCUCCUUGACCAGUAGCUUCACCAUGGACUUUAGGGCUGUCCUUAGAGCCAGCAAAUGUCCUAACCUGGGAGCCAAUUUACUACAUGGGCAUGCAUUGUGAAGUCCUACACCAGUUGGAACUUGUGCUAUGGCUUCUAAUCUACAGCUUCAACAUCUGGAAGGGAAAAAAAAAGGGGAAAGACACUGAUUUCACAAGUUACCGGAAAUAUUCAUACAUUCCAUAUUAUACUUGACAUAAAAUGAUAAAAUUUCUAAUCGACCAUUUUUGUUUCAUUGAACAGCCAGAACCCGACAGCAGCAGGCAGGGCAAACUUUGCUUCAUUUGGCUUGACAGGUUAAUUAAAAUCAGCAUCAAAAGCAAAACCCCGUUCUAAACUCAUCAUUUCAAUGUCUGUCACACACCUGGUCCCAAUCCCCUUCCCAGUAAUCAACCUUCUUUCAUUGAGGCAUUUCCUAAAGUUUUUUUUGCACCUGUCAUUCUCUAAGAACUAAGUUAUGAAGGAGAGAAGCACUGGCUCAUCUAUUCCCAAUCAUCCUGCUGGCAAAUCAUCGCAAGGAAAGAGAAAAUGUAAAGGUAAUAAACUGAGCUACAUUGACAGAUUAAACGGAGUAUGAGUUCAAAUAUUCCUAGAUAUGUCUGCUUCCAGUGGAAGAAAUUAUCUAUAGCUACCAGAGUAGCAUGUCUAAUAUAAAUACAUUCUGGAAUUAAUUCAUGAAUUUUGUGCCAAUAGUUCAAAGUUUCUUCAGAUUAUGUUGGAGCAGGAAAAAGAUACUACAUCGUCGCCAAUCUUGCGAGGUUGUAAAUUCCAAAGAAAAGAGACUACACCAAAUAUACACUCCAGCAGUUGCAUUAAUGAAAAGGAGACAUGAAGUGAGGAUUUACUAAUGCCGAUAGAAGUAGCCCAUUUGAUUUAUUAUCGUGCAUCGAGGUGGUUCAGAGAGAAGAGAGAUGGUGGAUGGGUGAAGACUUAGACGUAGCCACCAUUGACGCGAAUGAUCUGACCAUUAACCCACUCCCCAGCAUCAGUAGCCAGGAAUCCCACCAGCGGAGCCACGUCCUCUGUUUCGCCCAGUCUACCGAGCGGGCUCUCGUCCACAACCCUCUUGAUCAUCUCUUCUGUCUUCCCAGCAAAGAACAUGUCCGUGGCGAUAGGCCCUGGGGCCACGCAGUUGGCGGUUAUACCGGUCCCCUUGAGCUCCUUGGCCAGUAUCUUGACCAUGGACUCCACGGCGGCUUUGGACCCCACAUAGGCAGCGAAGCCGGGCCUCAAGGCGGCCACCAUGGAGGUGGUCAAGCAGAUGAUCCUCCCUCCGCCGCCGCGCUUGAUCCUGUUGGCAGCCUCCCUGCAGCACAAGAAGGCCCCCCUGGCGUUAACGUUGAAGAUGUUGUCGAAGUCUUCCAGGGCGGUGUUGGCCAGGGUUGGGUACUUGGAGUCGAGUACACCAGCGGAAUUGACGAGGAUAUGAACAGGGGAGCAGUUGAAGGCGGACUCGGCGGAGUCGAAGAGGGACUUGACCUGGGCUGGGUCGGAAAUAUCGGCUCUGACGGUGAUGGCGCGUGAAGCAGAAGCAGAAUUGAUUUGGGAGGCUACGAGGUCGGCUUGAGCUGGGUUGGAGGAGUAGUUGAUCACGAGGUUGGCUCCGAGAGAGGCAAGAUGGAGGGCUAUGGCCCGCCCAAUUCCCCUGGAGCCGCCGGUGACGACGGCUACUCGGUCUUUGAGAGGGAGGGGGAUGGAAUCAGCCAUGCUGCCGCCUGAUCCUGACUCCCACUAACUGCUAAGUUGAAG
This 10899-nucleotide long non-coding RNA is filed under the name Coffea arabica (coffee). Its description in RNAcentral is "long non-coding RNA (CARA_LNC004815)". Lineage: Eukaryota; Viridiplantae; Streptophyta; Magnoliopsida; Gentianales; Rubiaceae. The record is from RNAcentral.